UACAGAGGGUGCAAGCGUUAAUCGGAGUUACUGGGCGUAAAGGGCGCGUAGGCGGUAAUGAAAGAGUGAUGUGAAAGCCCCGGGCUUAACCUGGGAAGGGCAUCGCUAACUUUAUUGCUGGAGUGCAGGAGAGGGUGGCGGAAUUUCCGGUGUAGCGGUGAAAUGCGUAGAGAUCGGAAGGAACGUCGAUGGCGAAGGCAGCCACCUGGCCUGUAACUGACGCUGAGGCGCGAAAGCGUGGGUAGCGAACAGG
Molecule: ribosomal RNA, 253 nt
Filed under: uncultured bacterium
Lineage: Bacteria
Description: partial 16S ribosomal RNA
Rfam family: Bacterial small subunit ribosomal RNA
Source: RNAcentral